Gossypium hirsutum (cotton) is the source of this 105-nucleotide non-coding RNA. Lineage: Eukaryota; Viridiplantae; Streptophyta; Magnoliopsida; Malvales; Malvaceae. The record is from Rfam.
AACCCAUGGUGAGGGCACUUUCUCAAUAAAUUAUUGUAUCUUUCCCAUGCAUCAUAAAGUGUUUCUAAAUCCAUCUGCAAAAGAGGAGAUAUCAUUCCUCAAUUU